CAAAUACUCCCUCCGUUCGAAAAUACUUGUCAUCAAAAUGGAUAAAAGGAGAUGUAUCUAGAUGUGUUUUAGUUCUAGAUAUAACUAUUUUUGUCUAUUUUGAUGACAAGUAUUUUCGGACAGAGGGAGUAGUUU
Molecule: non-coding RNA, 135 nt
Organism: Triticum aestivum (bread wheat)
Lineage: Eukaryota; Viridiplantae; Streptophyta; Magnoliopsida; Poales; Poaceae
Source: Rfam